This 408-nucleotide ribosomal RNA is filed under the name uncultured bacterium. Its description in RNAcentral is "partial 16S ribosomal RNA". It matches the Rfam family "Bacterial small subunit ribosomal RNA", at positions 29 to 526 of the family's 1533-position model. The record is from RNAcentral.
AGUGAACGCUGGCGGCGUGCCUAAUACAUGCAAGUCGAACGGAGUGGCGCAUGGGUGAGUAAUAUAUAGCUAAUCUGCCCCUUGCUGGAGGACAACAGUUAGAAAUGACUGCUAAUACUCCAUAGCAAGGGAUGAGACUAUAUCGUAUCAGCUAGUCGGUGGGGUAACGGCCUACCGAGGCCAUGACGCGUAACUGGUCUGAGAGGAUGAUCAGUCAAAUUGGAACGGAGACACGAGCGAAACUCCUACGGGAGGCAGCGGAAGGGAAUAUUGCGCAAUGGGGGAAACCCAGACGGAGCAACGCCGCGUAGAGGAUGACACUUUGCGGAGAGUAAACUCCUUUUGUUAGGGAAGCGGUACCUAACGAAUAAGCACCGGCUAACUCCGUGCCAGCAGCCGCGGUAAUUC